Molecule: long non-coding RNA, 249 nt
Filed under: Linum usitatissimum (flax)
Lineage: Eukaryota; Viridiplantae; Streptophyta; Magnoliopsida; Malpighiales; Linaceae
Description: long non-coding RNA (LUSI_LNC000549)
Source: RNAcentral
CCAGAUGUUUGUCCUCGGUAUCCAUCUUGAUGACAUACAAGGUUUUCUCCUGCACCAUGUCAGGGGAAACUUCCUUAACUUGUUUGUUCAUUCUUUGCUUGUUAGCCACCUUCUUAGUAGUCUUGUCCUCAAUCUUGUGCUGCACGUUACUUGCUACCUUCUUCUUAAUCUUGUUCUCAGUCUUUGCCUGCUCGGUCUCGUUCCUUUUCAUCAAACCAGAUGUAACUUUUCCACCCCGAUUUUUCGCUG